Molecule: transfer RNA, 74 nt
Filed under: Bacillus cereus
Lineage: Bacteria; Bacillati; Bacillota; Bacilli; Caryophanales; Bacillaceae
Also listed under: 8 other names
Description: tRNA-Trp
Rfam family: tRNA
About the family: Transfer RNA (tRNA) molecules are approximately 80 nucleotides in length. Their secondary structure includes four short double-helical elements and three loops (D, anti-codon, and T loops).
Source: RNAcentral
AGGGGUUUAGUGUAAUGGCAGCACCGCAGUCUCCAAAACUGUUAGUAAGGGUUCGAAUCCUUUAACUCCUGCCA